GGGUAACUGAAGGGAAUUGGCAUACCUUCUUGAUUUAGAUUCAGGAGCUUCUCGGUUCGAGUCCGAGGUUGCCCACCA
This 78-nucleotide transfer RNA is filed under the name Serratia phage Slocum. RNAcentral's name for it is "tRNA-Leu". It matches the Rfam family "tRNA". Rfam says of the family: Transfer RNA (tRNA) molecules are approximately 80 nucleotides in length. Their secondary structure includes four short double-helical elements and three loops (D, anti-codon, and T loops). The record is from RNAcentral. Lineage: Duplodnaviria; Heunggongvirae; Uroviricota; Caudoviricetes; Demerecviridae.